RNAcentral lists this long non-coding RNA (648 nucleotides) under Vitis vinifera (wine grape). Its description in RNAcentral is "long non-coding RNA (VVIN_LNC002632)". The record is from RNAcentral. Lineage: Eukaryota; Viridiplantae; Streptophyta; Magnoliopsida; Vitales; Vitaceae.
UACCUUUGGAGCAAUGACAUCAACAAACUUGUCAGCAGCUGAUGGUUUGAAGACAAUUUCCUCAUCCUCUUCUUCUCCUUCCAGGUAUAAUUGUGGCUUCUGCUGCAAAGUGCUUGAGUUCAUAUUUUUCUCUUCUGGAUGUUCUUGGCCCGCACCAUUUACUGCAAGUACUUCAAAAGAACCACUGAAUGCAAAGUCAUUGGCCAUUUGAGGAUCAACUCCAAUAGAAAAUUUCUUCAACUUUGGAUCAAAAUAUAUUCCCUGUUGCCCAAUCCUAACAAUGUUUAUAAGAGACUUUCCCGCCGCAAUAAUCCUCUCAACACGAGCAUUUUUAUCCUUAUUGCCACCGUCACUUCCAAAAGACUGCUUUCUUGAAUAAUCAAGAAUGAGUUGUGCAGGCAGAAGUGGCAAGAAUCCUCUUAAUUCAAAGUCCUCCCACAAUGCAAGCCGGUUGGCAGUCUCACCUUCUUCAUACUUACUCAUAUUGAAGAAACAAAUUUCAUCCUGAUCCUCAUUACUGGACGUGAACCCACUCGACAGGAGAUUGUUCAAGAACGAAAUACAAUGGUUCCAAAAGAAUGUUCUAGCAGUAGCUUGUUUCUCCUCCACUUCGUUCCCAACUGCAAUAUCUGGAUGACAGGCUAACCA